GGCGUUGAACCACCUGAUCCCAUCCCGAACUCAGCAGUGAAAAGCGCCAUCGCCGAUGGUAGUGUGGGGGAUCCCAUGUGAGAGUAGGUC
RNAcentral lists this ribosomal RNA (90 nucleotides) under Marinomonas sp. TW1. The record is from RNAcentral. Lineage: Bacteria; Pseudomonadati; Pseudomonadota; Gammaproteobacteria; Oceanospirillales; Oceanospirillaceae.